GAGAUCAUACUUCACAGAAUCAUUUCUGUAGUAUGUAUUUCUUCGCUGUUAGCGAAAAUGCGACGGAGCGCAGCCGCGAUGAUGUGGCAGGGCGUCAUCUCCAGAGCGGGAAGAAGUGUGUCAUCCUCACUCCUACAGUGUGGGUGUCAUACUUGAUGACUGCGUGGAGAACCUUGAAUUAGGUUUUCCGGAAGGAGUUGACGCGUGCUGAGCGGUCAAACCAAAGAGAAUGAAUUAUGAGUGGUUAUUGACCGAGUGGUCAUUGAUAUUUUGUGUGAGUCACUUACAGUAUUUCAAGGUGUAGUUGCUCCAUAAAAUAUUGGAGAAACAUUGUCUGCAAACAUCCUUUUAAAGGUAAUUCAAAAUAUGCACGAAUUGCUUCAUAAUGACAACGACGCAAUCUUGCGUUACGCAUCCUGGUUAACUGCAUCAAUAAUAACAAGCAAAGUAGAAGAGUUGAACAGAGUUUUAUCUUUUAUUAAAAUCAGUGGGAAAGAUAUUUGACGGAUGUUGUCCAUAAUUAAUAUUCUUUUGAAGGUCAUUCAAAAUCUUGCACUCGUUCUAAUCGACAGUAUUGGUGCAGCAUUAGCAUUUACAGCUUGGGGAUACUUCGAUGGAGGUUGAUUCUUUCAUUGGAGUGUUCUCCAACUAGCAAAAUACAUACGAAUUAUGUUAUACGAGACAGCUUUUUAAUAUUUGGUUGUAUCAUUCUAGAUUUCUGUGCAAUAUAUAUCUUAAGGUCCAAAUUUUGCAGGUGAUUCUUAUAAAAAUAUUUGGGAUUUCAUAUGGAAAAUCUUGAUAAAAAAGUUUAAAUGAACGAUUUAUCGUUUGUUGGUUCCCUGAUUAUAUUUCCUUGUAAAAAAAAAAAAAAAAAAGAUCACUAAAACUCACCAAAUUUAGGUCGGAAAAUUCAGGAUGAAAUUAUUGCUAUACUUCGUUACAUGGCACAUCGUGGUUGUGCCAUCGUAACAACAAACCAUUUUGUUUACUGGCGUGGGGAGCCAUCACCAUCACUUGGUAAACGAUGGAUCAAAGCGGUUGAUUUCAGAUAUUUACUAUUCAAAUUAUCAGAUUCCAAUUGCUAUAUGCAAAUCAUCUCUCCGAAUCAUCACAAGGUCAAUACCAUUAUUAUUAUUAUUAAAUUAUUGAUAAAUGUGGUCACUCACAUGGCUUACCAAAUAUUUUAAACAAGAAUUUUGGUCUUCGCCGUUAUAAUUCCAAGUCUAUCACCAGAUUAAUAUUUCUUCUCCAUUAGUUUUCCAGAGAUAUCUUCUUCAUUUGCCUCGUUAUGGUCGUAUUAUAACUUCUUUUUUGUGUGUUAAAUAAGGUUUAUCUUCAGUUUGGUCUUUUCAAUAUCAUUCAUUGGAUUCGAGAUGUUAUAAAUUUCACUUUUCACUCCCCGCUAUCUUUUUUUUCAUUUCUGUUUUUACCAUUUCUUUUUCAUAUGUUUUAUAUUCUUCACAAAGUUAUUCCAUGUAUCAUAACGGUAGCGAGUUGCGAUUUCUUAUAAUCACUAAUUGAAUGAGAACUGUUUCGUCACAUUUAUGAUUUAGCUCAAACUAUCAGUUGAGUUCCCUUUUUUUCAGUCUUUUUGAUAUAUUUUAUGCGUAACAUUAAUUUUCAAAUUAGAUAUUGCAAUCACAAUCAACCAGUCCGUUCUUUCAUUACCUUUCGUAUCAGUGUUUGCAAAUGCACUCAUGUAUCGGCUUGUUUUUUUUUUUUUUUUUUUUUUUUAAUUUGUCAGCUAAUUAAUUUGCAUUCCUUAGGUCACUUUAAUAAAUAUUUGCUUAAAAAUCUAAACCAGCAUUUUUUUCCUGAUCUACAUUAAUAUAUCAUUCAAUGUCCUCUUUUCGAUAUUCUGCUUUACUUGUAAUAAUCCGAUAUCGCUGCAUAGAUGUAAUUUUCAUAAUUAUAGCUCCUUUUGUUUAAAGCAUUUAAAAUGAUUUAGUACAAACUAAUUUCAGUGAAUGAUUUCUACCUGUCUUGAAUGAAUUGUUUUGCCUUCAUUUGACUUAAAUAUCUUUAAACUACUUUAUAUAAUACGAAAAAUAUAUAAUACGCAAAAACGAAUCUUUGUAAUAAACAAAAAAAUUUGAAAGAUGUUGAAAAUAAUGUUUAAAAUUAAAAUCGCUGAACAAUGUUCUCUUGUCAUAGUUUCAUUUACCCUAACUAUAUUAUUUCACAUCUUUCAGUAUUGCUGCUGGACAUUUCCCUGUUCUAAUUCUUCCGAUUAUCACUGUUAACAUUUCUAUCGAUAACUGAAAUUAUUAACUUUGCCUUUCAUCUACAUUGAAUCUUUUAUUUUUCAAUGCUCUGUGAUGCUAUUGCAGUUAUGAUUAACGAAGGUUUUUAGAUGGAAUUUUCAUGGAGUAUUAAUGUGAUCCUUUACGAAUUUCGGACUCUCAAGUACCAAAAUUGUCAUUCGCUUUAUGCUUUGUAAGCGAAAUUUCCCGAUAACGUUGUAGGCCUUUUUCAUUAUCACACUACCAGUAAUUAAUCACCAUUCCACAUCAGAUCUUAGAUAUAUUCAUCCUUUCUACUACUUUAGAAAAAUACGGCCACAAAUAAGGUAUCUAUCCAAUCGAUAUUUCCUCGAAUUCAUACUUCCAUCUUUUUACCAUCCUAGCUCGUUUAUGAUGCAUGUUGGCAUAUUGUAUUAAACUGUUUAAUUAUUCUAAGAUAUAAAUUUCUUCUUUAAAAAAAUCGUAAUCUAUCUGUUUUGUCUUCAUAAGAUUUAGAAUAAACUGUCAAAUUUAAUAUGCGCUAUCAUAUUGGUCUCAUAAAUUGAUUUCACUUAGGUCAAAUAGUAAAGAAAUGGUAAUACGAACUAUGUUACUUUUACUUCAGUCUUGUCUAAAAUGUUUAUUUAACAUUUAACACUUGAUCACUCUGAAUAGGCAAUGAUCCUUCAUAAUAGUUACUGCUUUUUUGUGAAACUUAAAGUAUUUUCAUUCAGAGACUUAAUUUACCACUGAGUAUUUCUCUUUUACCUAUACUUUUACCUAUUUAAUGAAAAACUUUUCAAAACAAUAAGAACGUUGACGUAGAUGUUCAAGAUGUCCUAGCCAUUUAUCAAUCAAAAUUUGAUAUCAAACUUCCAACAAACGUCAUAAAAGUCAUGAUUGUGAUAUUUACACACCAGUAAUAGUCAUUGAAAAAUAACAGGAUUUUUUCACUAAAAUUAACUAACUUCAUUUUUUUUCAAACUCUUUCUGAAAACCGCAAAAUAUGGAACUUGAAAAAAAAAUCUUUUUUAGGCGGUUGACGACAAAGUAUUUUAUAAAAUUUCGAAGAAAGGCAUCGAUUCGCUCACCAACGAAUCACAAGUGGUACAAACGCAGUAUACGGAUGCAGUAAUGACGCAAAACUGGAAAACUAUUAAACAAAUCUAUGCGCAGAAUGAUUAAACUGUAAUAUUUAUUGGACAGUAAUUGAGAAACUUUAUAAUAUCAGACAAAGAAUCACCUCAUAUUUCUUAAUGUAUUAUGCAUUCCAUUGUCAUUAUCCUAACGUAAUCGACGCUGAACAUAUCUUGCACAUACGUUGUAUUACCAUCACCUAUAGCUUAUUUUGUCUGUGGAUACCAAUUUUGUUGGAUCAACAGAAGUCGAAUGCUUUAGACUGAAGUUGGAACAUUAUUACUAUAUUUCAAUGAAUUUUGUCGUCUUAUUUCAAAUUAAAGCUAGCAUAUUUCAUAAAUUUGAAUUUCUGAAGGUGAAACAUUCCGGUAUCUGCUAUUGCACAUUGAGGAAAUUGUACAUUCCUAUUGUCAUAUUUUUCUAGGGAAAUUCAAGUUUGUAGCAAUAUUCGAAAUUUCCUUUCGAGAAUAGUAUUUUAUUAAAUAGUGUUUUCCAUAUUCAGAUAAUAUUUCGUACACUCAAAUAUCCAAAUACUUCACCAAACGUAGCAGAAUAUAAAUGACUUUAUGGGUUCGUAGUUGUGGAAAUGGCGUGUGUAUUGAUUGGUGAGGCUAAUUGUCACUGAGAGAGAGUUGUGACGAGAGAAGUAGGGAGAUUGUGAAGAUGGCGUGAGUGGCAGAGAAGGAGGGAGUAGUUUUAAAAGUUUUUGCAAUAAGCCACUUAUCAUUUGCAGUGGAAAUAAGUGAAAAGAAAAAUUGGGGAAACUGCAAUCGAGAUCAUACUUCACAGAAUCAUUUCUGUAGUAUGUAUUUCUUCGCUGUUAGCGAAAAUGCGACGGAGCGCAGCCGCGAUGAUGUGGCAGGGCGUCAUCUCCAGAGCGGGAAGAAGUGUGUCAUCCUCACUCCUACAGUGUGGGUGUCAUACUUGAUGACUGCGUGGAGAACCUUGA
This 4308-nucleotide small nuclear RNA is filed under the name Brugia malayi. RNAcentral describes it as "snRNA Bm15604". The stretch from base 1 to 216 matches the Rfam family "Small nucleolar RNA U3". The record is from RNAcentral. Lineage: Eukaryota; Metazoa; Nematoda; Chromadorea; Rhabditida; Onchocercidae.